This 492-nucleotide ribosomal RNA is filed under the name uncultured bacterium. RNAcentral's name for it is "partial 16S ribosomal RNA". It matches the Rfam family "Bacterial small subunit ribosomal RNA", at positions 28 to 507 of the family's 1533-position model. The record is from RNAcentral.
GAUGAACGCUAGCUAUAGGCUUAACACAUGCAAGUCGAGGGGAAACGGCAUUAUGUGCUUGCACAUUUUGGACGUCGACCGGCGCACGGGUGAGUAUCGCGUAUCCAACCUGCCCUUUACUUGGGGAUACCCCGUUGAAAGACGGCCUAAUACCCGAUGUAAUUCAUUGAUGGCAUCAGAUAUGAAUAAAAGAUUUAUCGGUAAAGGAUGGGGAUGCGUCUGAUUAGCUUGUUGGUGAGGUAACGGCUCACCAAGGCGACGAUCAGUAGGGGUUCUGAGAGGAAGGUCCCCCACAUUGGAACUGCGACACGGUCCAAACUCCUACGGGAGGCAGCAGUGAGGAAUAUUGAUCAAUGGGCGCAAGCCUGAACCAGCCAAGUAGCGUGCAGGAAGACGGCCCUAUGGGUUGUAAACUGCUUUUAUACGAGAAUAAUUUGAUGCACGUGUGCGUUAUUGCAUGUAUCGUAUGAAUAAGGACCGGCUAAUUCCGUG